GUUAACCAUCAAGGAGUCUUCAAUCAUGACUUCGGAAGAGAUCUCUUGCAACUCGUCCUUAGCCUUGUUGAUCUCCAAGCACAGAGACUCUUUCUCGGCUACGGCUCGAAGAUAUUGAGUACGCUUGGCCUUUAGUUCAGCAUUCUUGGCCAGCAUAGUAAGGACCUCGGAGUGAAUGACCUUCAACGUCGCUUUAAAGUCGGCAGAAAGAUUGAGCGACGGAAGCGUCAGUGCUUGCUCUAAUUUCGCACUCAAACAUUCAAGUUCAUCCUUGUGUCUGGCAACACUAGCCCUUCCAAUGUCCAUGUCCAUGAAGGACACGUACUCAAAUACCAACCCCUUCAAGAACUUCAAGUCCUCUUCUGAAGAAGCAGCAGGACGAUCAUAUGGAGUAGGGCGAGGCAUUUGGACCUGCCCCCAGGAAGCGAACAAAUCCUGGAUAGAACGAACAAUCCUGUCAGCAUCCUGCAAAGAAGAUUGCCAACAUUAAAAAUAUUCGUUACAACGAACAAGUUGGAAAUAGGAAUGGGGCAAAGAGAAAAACUACCUCGUCGACGAUCGUAGAAGAUGGUGCACCCUCAGCCAAGCUGGCCACCAAUGACUCGUCCAUUUGUGAGGAUUUUCCCUUGUCCGAGCGAGAAGACGUUGCCACAACGGGCGGACUCAUGGGAGUAUCUACAAAGUUCAAAGAGCAACCAGUCAGAAACCAAUAGCACGAGCAAAGGUAAGACAUCAAAAACUGAACUACCUUCUGCUUCGGUGAUUGGGGGGUAGACGCCCUGGGAGGAAGGUGGCUCAUUCAUGAGUUGUGAUGAAGAAUCUGGGACUGAAGAUAUACCUUUAAGCAUGGUCCCAUCAUCAACCGGUUUGGAUGAAGUAGCCUCAACAGGGGAUGAUGGAACAGGAGUUGGUAAUGCCAAAGCCUUUGAAGGGGAAGCUGAGCUUUUCUGAAAAGUCCAAAAGAUCAUCAGUACACAGAAAAUUUUCAGAUGGGGAAGAGCAUACUUGUAAAUAGGCCAAUUUAAAUACCUUCCUUUUAACGAUAAGAGGGACAUCAUCAUCAUCAUCAUCAACAUCAUCCUCCAGAAUGGGAGAUGCUGAAGCUGGCCGUUUGCGGCUUGGAACACUCUUGGCCAUAGUUGGCUUGGCAGGGAGGGAAGAAGAUGGACGAGCAGAUUGUUUAGUACGACGAGAAGGAGAAGGGUUCCGAAUAGACAAAGGAGGGGCCAAAACAGGAGGAGGAGAAGAAAUACUCGGUUGAUCUAAUGAAUGAAAGGCACGGUUGGCCUCAGUCGCAAAUAAUCUGCGCUUCACCGAUGGCCAAAGUUGUUCGAAAAGAGGNAUCG
This 1346-nucleotide long non-coding RNA is filed under the name Olea europaea subsp. europaea. Lineage: Eukaryota; Viridiplantae; Streptophyta; Magnoliopsida; Lamiales; Oleaceae. The record is from RNAcentral.